CCUUCUAGUUUUUCUUCCAAAUCUUGCUCAUGCUCUUUUUUUCAUCUCCACCUGAAAGAUACCGUCUAUUGUAUUAAAGUCCAUCUCAAAUAACACGUCUGAUUCUUCCACCUGCAUUUGGUCACUUCUUAAUGUUAUGUUUCUUUGCUAGUGGCAAUGGUCUGCAUAUUUGUUUUAUCUCCUUGCAGUGUGAUUCAGGCUAAGGCACAUGAGCGCUGGAUUUAGAGAGAGAUCCAGAUGAAGACCCUGGCUGUACUAUUUACUAUGACCACGCUUAACGCUGAUGAUGCAGAAAGAAAAGACAGAAUGGCUCUUCUCUGGCAGUUGUUUAACGCAAAUGGAUCUCAAAGGUCAGGAAUGAGAAGAUGAAAACGGAAUUGAAGCAGAUUAAAUCAAGGCACAACAUUGUCACCCAUGGUACAUGUACAUCUGCACCCAGGGUUCUGCUCAGAGAACCCUCACAGAGCUUCUUUCUCUCUGCGCCACCUUUUUAAAAUCUUUAUUUAUUUGCGGGGAGGGGGGGCAGAGAGAGAAAGGGGGAGACCCAGAAUCCAAAGCAGGCUCCAGGCUCUGAGCUGUCAACACAGAGCCUGAUGCAGGGCUUAAACUCAUGAAUCGCGAGAUCAUGACCUGAGCCAAAGUCGGCCACUUGACCAACCGAGCCACCCAGGUGCCCCUCUCUCUGCUUUUAAAAGAAAACUGGACAGUCUCCUGCAGUUCCAAAGUAGAGUGG
Molecule: long non-coding RNA, 733 nt
Organism: Panthera uncia (snow leopard)
Lineage: Eukaryota; Metazoa; Chordata; Mammalia; Carnivora; Felidae
Exons: 3
Source: RefSeq, a predicted model, not a curated record